This 476-nucleotide ribosomal RNA is filed under the name uncultured Anoxybacillus sp. RNAcentral's name for it is "bacterial SSU rRNA". It matches the Rfam family "Bacterial small subunit ribosomal RNA", at positions 910 to 1382 of the family's 1533-position model. Lineage: Bacteria; Bacillati; Bacillota; Bacilli; Caryophanales; Anoxybacillaceae. The record is from RNAcentral.
UUGACGGGGCCGCACAAGCGGUGGAGCAUGUGGUUUAAUUCGAAGCAACGCGAAGAACCUUACCGGGCCUUGACAUGGCUAGGGAACCCGGGUGAAAGGCCUGGGGUGCCCGCGAGGGAGCCCUAGCACAGGUGCUGCAUGGCCGUCGUCAGCUCGUGCCGUGAGGUGUUGGGUUAAGUCCCGCAACGAGCGCAACCCCCGCCGUUAGUUGCCAGCAUUCAGUUGGGCACUCUAAGGUGACUGCCGGCUAAAAGUCGGAGGAAGGUGGGGAUGACGUCAAAUCAUCAUGCCCCUUAUGACCUGGGCUACACACGUGCUACAAUGGGCGGUACAAAGGGUCGCGAACCCGCGAGGGGGAGCCAAUCCCAAAAAGCCGCUCUCAGUUCGGAUUGCAGGCUGCAACUCGCCUGCAUGAAGCCGGAAUCGCUAGUAAUCGCGGAUCAGCGUGCCCGCGGUCGAAUACGUUCCCGGGCCUU